RNAcentral lists this ribosomal RNA (501 nucleotides) under uncultured bacterium. RNAcentral's name for it is "partial 16S ribosomal RNA". It matches the Rfam family "Bacterial small subunit ribosomal RNA", at positions 30 to 523 of the family's 1533-position model. The record is from RNAcentral.
AUUGAACGCUGGCGGCAUGCCUUACACAUGCAAGUCGAACGGCAGCACGGGUGCUUGCACCUGGUGGCGAGUGGCGAACGGGUGAGUAAUACAUCGGAACGUACCUUAUCGUGGGGGAUAACGCAGCGAAAGCUGUGCUAAUACCGCAUACGCCCUGAGGGGGAAAGCGGGGGAUCGCAAGACCUCGCGCGAUUAGAGCGGCCGAUGCCUGAUUAGCUUGUUGGUGGGGUAAAAGCCCACCAAGGCGACGAUCAGUAGCUGGUCUGAGAGGACGAUCAGCCACACUGGGACUGAGACACGGCCCAGACUCCUACGGGAGGCAGCAGUGGGGAAUUUUGGACAAUGGGGGCAACCCUGAUCCAGCAAUGCCGCGUGAGUGAAGAAGGCCUUCGGGUUGUAAAACUCUUUUGUCAGGGAAGAAACACCGGCUCUAACACAGUCUGGGAAUGACGGUACCCGAAGAAUAAGCACCGGCUAACUACGUGCCAGCCGCCGCCGUAA